This 319-nucleotide unclassified non-coding RNA is filed under the name Euphorbia characias. Its description in RNAcentral is "partial external transcribed spacer". The record is from RNAcentral. Lineage: Eukaryota; Viridiplantae; Streptophyta; Magnoliopsida; Malpighiales; Euphorbiaceae.
AUCCCCCGAGGACGUGAGACGGGCUAGCCGGUCNUUUUUUCCGAGGGACUACGAGCUCAACGAGGAAACUUAAUCCCUCCGCUCGCACAGCGUUCCGCAUCCGAGAGCACGAGCNCAAUCNCGUGGGCCAACGCAGCCAAUUCGACAUGCGAGGAACACAAGACGCACCACACGGUUCAUCACGUGCCUACGAGAGGCACGAGAAGAAGGCAACGUUCGGCAACAGUAAAGAAUUCCGCUACGAGGGUAUGCAACACAUGAACCCAUCUUCUCCCGACAGUUCAAAAUGCCUACGGGCCGCGACUGAGCGGACGCCGGG